This 273-nucleotide ribosomal RNA is filed under the name uncultured bacterium. RNAcentral describes it as "partial 16S ribosomal RNA". It matches the Rfam family "Bacterial small subunit ribosomal RNA", at positions 523 to 796 of the family's 1533-position model. The record is from RNAcentral.
AUACGGAGGGGGUUAGCGUUGUUCGGAAUUACUGGGCGUAAAGCGUACGUAGGCGGACUGGAAAGUUGGGGUGAAAUCCCGGGGCUCAACCCCGGAACUGCCUCCAAAACUUCCAAUCUAGAGAUCGAGAGAGGUGAGUGGAAUUCCAAGUGUAGAGGUGAAAUUCGUAGAUAUUUGGAGGAACACCAGUGGCGAAGGCGGCUCACUGGCUCGAUACUGACGCUGAGGUACGAAAGCGUGGGGAGCAAACAGGAUUAGAUACCCUAGUAGUCC